ACUCAACGUUAAUUCUUUAAAAAGGGUGAGUUUAAGUUGUAAAACCGUGCUGCUAGUACUUUGUACUUGGGCAGAUUUUUGAGCAGCUUGUUAGCCCUAAACUUGUUUUUAAGGAGUUU
Molecule: small RNA, 119 nt
Filed under: Winogradskyella sp.
Lineage: Bacteria; Pseudomonadati; Bacteroidota; Flavobacteriia; Flavobacteriales; Flavobacteriaceae
Description: 6S RNA
Rfam family: 6S-Flavo RNA
Source: RNAcentral